Molecule: long non-coding RNA, 1276 nt
Filed under: Homo sapiens (human)
Lineage: Eukaryota; Metazoa; Chordata; Mammalia; Primates; Hominidae
Description: HSALNT0354122
Source: RNAcentral
UAGAGCUAUGUUACAUUGAAUGGCAAAAGUGACUUUGUAGAGCAGACAGUUGGCUUAGCAACUCUGAGUGGUGGGCUCAACAGAAGAACAAGCUGAUAGAAGUCCUUGGGCUCUGAGGCUCCAUUCUAAUCAAAGUACUUCUCCAACCAGAGGACUUCCAUUGAUCAAUAGCCACUCAGAUGUUCUGUGUUUGCCAUGAGUAUCGGACUUCAGUCUUCUGGAAAGAUGGCUGUGGUGCCUAAACACAUCUGUGCCUGGCCUCACCCGCGGGACUUCGGACAUUUCACUUAAUGCUGAAAAUUCACUCUACUGCCACUACUCAGGACUUCUGAUGGGCAUGAAAAUCCAAGCCUGCUUUAUGAUAUUAACCUCUGAAUUUCAUAAACCGCUUAAAACUUUAGAAUGUCCAGAAAAUAGAUGACUUGCCCAAGAUACUAUAACUAGUGAAUUACUGAAGUUAGACUUAAACUAAACUGUUUUAUGAAAACACUGGUAGAAUACGGACACAUGAGACAAGGCCAGAAAGGAAGUCAAUAAAAUGUGAUUACUAAGCAAAUUACCACCAGAGAAGCAGAAGGAAAUCCCUCUUCAAUAUUUUGAGAGACAGUAAAGAACAUUCCCUGGAGUUAGGACAAAUGAAGAGCAAGAAGUUUCAUCUUGCUCUGUCAUCCAGGCUGGAGUGCAGGGGCACCAUCUCGGCUCACUGAAACCUCCACUUCCCGGGUUCAAGCGAUUCUCCUGCCUCAGCCUCCUGAGUAACUGGGGUUACAGAGUGAAUAGACAACCUACAGAAUGGGAGAAAAUACUUGCAAGCUAUGUAUCCAACAAAGGACUAAUAUCGAGAAUUUACAAGGAACUCAAACAAAACUCAACAAGAGUAAAACAACCCCAAUAAAAAGGAAAGUGAACACAUUUGGAAAUAUUGGCUCAGCAUUGCAGCUAUACCCUUUAGACAGGAAACACACUUUCCAGUUCUCCUUGACAGAGAGGCUGAAGGUCAACUGAUGGUCCAGAAUAUUGCUGGAGCUCCAGCCAUCAUUUCUGAAUGCCAAGAAACAGAAAUGGGGAAAAGCUUGACUGCAAAAGGAUCCUCUUAUCAGCUAAGCCAGCUUACUUUCCACAGAUGUCUUGGAAAUCUUUCACAACACUUUUAUUUUUGUCUCAGUGACCAGCUCUUGCCAUGUGGUCACACCUGGAUGAAGGACAAAGAAGUACAGCCUUUUGGCUAGGCACAUUUCUGCUCUGAAUAAAAUUUGGACUAAAGAAGAGAAAGCAA